CUUGGAGGGGUGAGGGGCCCUGUUAGUCUGACUUUGAAGAAGACCAGCCUUCCAGACUCGCUUGGUGCCCUGACAGCAGCUUGUGUUUCUUCCUUCAAGAGUCUGCUUAGAGAUAAUAAAGAUCAACACUAUUCCUUAUAACAACACCUCAGUAUCCUGCGAGCUGUACACACCAGAGUUUAUUUAACCACCUUGCUGCUGGCAUGAAAGCCUCAGGAGCCCUGGGCUCCCCCAGUGUUGCCUGGGUCUGACUUUGCCUCAGUGAAAACUGCCUCGAAUUCUUUCUUGCACCGAUGGGCAGAUGGGCAGUGUCGGAGGAUCGUGUCAUCUGUCCCGUGGCGCUGGUUGGCUUGGUCAAGUCAGUGUUCAAACUAUCUCCUGCUCUUUCAAGGGGAUCUGGGGCUCUAGAAGAUUAGAGGACUUGGAGAGGUUAGUGACUUGCUCGAGGUCGGCUAGGAAGCAAGACCCAGGAUUCCAACUCAGGUCUGUGUGAUUCCUCUGCAAAAUGGAGAGGUGGAAGGAUGGAUGUCAGGUCUGAUGGAUGGAUGGAUGCCUACAUCAAGAUACAUGCAUAGAUGGAGAGAUGGCUGGCUACCUCAUGAAUGCUGGACUGUUGUGAGAAUCAAACGAGAUAAUGUAUGCUGAGGCAUGCUGUGAACACUACGUGCUGGGUACAGGAGAAUGGAGGCUCCAGAGUGAAAUUAAUGACACUUUGUCGAUGAAGAUCUUGAUUGUGACCUCUGUGGAAAAUGAGCCAUGAACCAACCAAUGAUAAGUCUACUUUUCUUCCACGUAACAACCACAGGAUAGAUGACAUUCAUUUUCUAAGAAACAAAAUCUUGGCAGUUAGAUCCGUGGGGUAAAGAAUAUAGAUACUAAUAAUGAAAACCAUGUAGCUGGUCUUAUUAUUCUCUAAUCAUGAAGACCAUUAUUGUUAUUUGUGGACUAAGGAGCAGAAAGACUGAUAGUGGACAUAGGCCAGCUGAUUUAAUAAUUUAAGAAAGAACUGUUAUCCUGAGUAAGGAGCAUAGAGACAAAUAUAAAAUGAACGCACUCUACCUGAUUUAAUUAUAGUCUUCUGGUGAAGAUCUUGCUGUUAUCUCUGUGAAUCAGGAGAGAAGAGAUUGAUAAGGAAUAGACGAGAUUGGAUUUGGUCAUUUCCCCAAGGUGAAGAGCAUGGCGAUUUCUUCUGUGGUAAGGAGCAAUAAUGAAGACCAUGGUUGAUUUAAUCAGUCUCUGCUGAUGAAGAUCUUGGCUGUUACCUUUGUGUGUAAGGAAGCUAAAGACUUAAGUAAAUAACAGUCCAAAAACUUGUCAAUUAGGAAUGAAUGCGCAAUGAUUCAAUUAUUCUCCAGCGAGGAAGAUCAUGGUUGUUGUCUGUUUGAGUAAUGAGUGUAGAAACCUAUAAUGGAGGCGUGAUGGCUGAUGCAAUCAUUUUCCACUGAUGAAGGUUUUGAUGGCCACCUGUAAUGAACAGCCCCAUCUGAUUUAAUCACUGUGCAAUGACCGUGAACUGUACAGUUACCUCCGUGUGUCACAGGAAGACUCUUUUGACUUAAGCACCCUUCCAUGGUCAUGAGGUUUCUGGUUGCCUCUGUGUGUUAGAAGCUUGGAGACCAAUGCCUUCUGCUGUGAUCGCGUUCUCCACAGUUGCCUCUGGGUAGGAGCCUGGACACUAAUAGAAAAUGGAUGCACUUGAGCCGACCUAAGCAUUCAUGGUCAUGAGAUUUGUGGUUGCCACUGUUGGUUAGGAGCAUAGAGAUCAGUAAUGGACACACCUGGGCUGGCAGAACAUCUUGCCUUGAUCUGGAGCCCCAUGUCUGCCCCUCUGUAGAGGUGCACAUGGGCCAAUGAUGGAUGCAAUGAGCUGAUCAUUUUGCUGUGAUCAAGGCUAUGUUGCCUCUGUGUUAGGCCAAUGGUUGAUGUUCAUGGGUGAUUGAUCAUCCUGUAGCGACGGUGGUAUUGACUGUUCCCCAGAGGACAAGGAGUGUGUUCUUAUAAUGGACAUCAUGAUUGGGAUUGUCUUUAUUAAACUUUGUCAGGAGAGUAAAGAUCAAUGUGGCCACAUGUUGUGGCUCAUGCCUGUAAUCCCAACACUGUAAUCCCAGCACUGUAAUCCCAGCCUGUAAUCCCAGGCUGAGGUGGGCGGAUCACCUGAGGUUGGGAGUUCGAGACCAGCCUGACCAACAUGGAGAAACCCCGUCUCUACUAAAAAUACAAAAUUAGCCGGGCAUGGUGGCGCAUGUCUUUAAUUCCAGCUACUCAGGAGGCUGAGGCAGGAGAAACGCUUGAACCCGAGAGGCGGAGGUUGCAGUGAGCUGAGAUUGCGCCAUUGCACUCCAGCCUGGGCAACAAGAGUGAAACUCCAUCUCAAAAGAAAAAAAAAAGAAAACAAAACAAAAAAAGAAAAAACCAAUGUAAGUACCUGUUAAAGUUCUUGCUAUGGUUCCAGUGGUUUGCUUCCUAACUGUGUUAUUUAGAAAUUUGAAGUAUAUUUAAUGAAUGUCCUCCCUUCCCACUGGCCCUGCCAGGCAUGCUGCCAUCUGUUCUCUGGGACUUGUGAGUAGUACACUGCUCCUGUUAUUUCAUGUGCUUUGCUAAGUUGUUUCUUCUGUGUCUCAACUGAUCAACACACCCAGACCUAACUGAUUUCCAGGUUGGGGCUCUCCUAGAGAGUGCCUCUCUUGGUAGGAAUAAACUGGACACAGACAAGAGCCUCCAUGGUGUCUGCCUGUAUAACCAAGUUUUCUAUGAGAGGGACAAUGGGUCAUAGAUUGAACACUUGGGCAUUACAUCUGUGAGAAUAAGUCUAUAGUAAAUUUCAGUAAAUUUGAGGGAUCUAAUUAUGGGGUUUCAGUAGAUCCUGGGGAUUUAUUGCAUUAUUCGAAGGAAAUAAAUGAAAGAAUCAGCAAAACAUACAGACACACAUAUAAAUAAUUAAAGAUGAAGAGGAUAAAGCUGGAUUAAUUGAGGAAAAUGCUAUCAGACAGGAAUUUUUGGUUCUGUAAUUCUGAAACACUGCAAUGCAUUAAGAAACCUGUACAUCAAGGGUGUCACCUGUCUAGGGUAGGGUAAUAUAGAGUAGUUGUUCUCAAAUGCGAGCAUUGGAGUGACCUGGAGGGCUUGUAAAAUACAGAAGGUCACCUACAUUCUCAGGAUUUCUGAUUCAGUAGGUUUGGUGUGGGGUCUGAGAAUCUAAAUUUCUAAUAACUUAAUUUCUGUAGGUUCCAAUAGUUUCCCAAAUCAUGCUGAUGCUGCCUCCUGAGAAAUAUUUUCAGAAUCACUGAGAAAAAUGUAUGAAAUAGUUAAUGUCCUUGCUCUGUGUCAGUGGUGGAGGCUGUCUGCAGUAGGAGCAUGGAGACCAACAAUGGAUGCUCUUAAACUGAUUUAAGCACGCUUCCAUGGUCAGAAGCCUUAUGGUUGCCACAGGGUAUUAGGAGCAUGGAGACCAAUAAUGGAUGUCCUUGUUCUGAUUUGAGGAUGCCUCCAAGGUCACAUACUCUGUUUGCACCACGCUUAGGAAGGAGCGUGAAGACCAAGGGGAGUAAUAGUCAAAGUCCUUACCUUUGUUUGGGUGGUUUGUUUAAGAGUAAUCAACGUAUUAUUUAAAAGUGUGAAAUACAGUCAAAGAUGGCCAAUGUUAUUCCAGUGAUAUGGGAGUGACAUGAAGUAUUAUAUUGAUGAUGCAUAUAUAAAAAACAGGAUAGUUAAUGAAACACCCAAUGUUUGAGUGAUUCUGUAUACUGAUAGGGAAUAUCAAGAGUGUUACUGGGUUUUGUGAAUCACGGGCCUUGAAAGUAUUAUUAAUGAAUAAAUGACAUAAUCAAUAGACAAGGUAGAAAUGAAUAGCAAAAAAAAAGAA
RNAcentral lists this long non-coding RNA (3862 nucleotides) under Homo sapiens (human). RNAcentral describes it as "maternally expressed 8, small nucleolar RNA host gene". The stretch from base 218 to 339 matches the Rfam family "Maternally expressed 8 exon 2". The record is from RNAcentral. Lineage: Eukaryota; Metazoa; Chordata; Mammalia; Primates; Hominidae.